AUUGAACGCUGGCGGCAUGCCUUACACAUGCAAGUCGAACGGCAGCGGGCCUUCGGGUGCCGGCGAGUGGCGAACGGGUGAGUAAUGCAUCGGAACGUGCCAUUGAGUGGGGGGAUAACGUAGCGAAAGUUACGCUAAUACCGCAUAUUCUGUGAGCAGGAAAGCAGGGGACCGCAAGGCCUUGCGCUCUUUGAGCGGCCGAUGUCAGAUUAGCUAGUUGGUGAGGUAAAGGCUUACCAAGGCGACGAUCUGUAGCGGGUCUGAGAGGAUGAUCCGCCACACUGGAACUGAGACACGGUCCAGACUCCUACGGGAGGCAGCAGUGGGGAAUUUUGGACAAUGGGCGCAAGCCUGAUCCAGCAAUGCCGCGUGCAGGAAGAAGGCC
This 385-nucleotide ribosomal RNA is filed under the name uncultured bacterium. RNAcentral's name for it is "bacterial SSU rRNA". It matches the Rfam family "Bacterial small subunit ribosomal RNA", at positions 30 to 416 of the family's 1533-position model. The record is from RNAcentral.